RNAcentral lists this ribosomal RNA (428 nucleotides) under Acostemma stilleri. Its description in RNAcentral is "partial large subunit ribosomal RNA". The record is from RNAcentral. Lineage: Eukaryota; Metazoa; Arthropoda; Insecta; Hemiptera; Cicadellidae.
CCCUAUGAUUAUUUAAAUGGCUGCAGUAUUUUGACUGUGCAAAGGUAGCAUAGUAAUUAGUUUCUUAAUUGGGAGCUUGAAUGAAUGAAUAAAUAAGAGAAUGUUUAUAUUCAAAAUAAUAUUAGAAUUUAAUUUUUGAGUUAAAAAGCUUAAUUUACUUAUUGGGACGAUAAGACCCUAUAGAACUUUAUUAGUUAUAUUAUAUUAAUAAUUAGUAUAAAUUUUUAUAUGAAGUAAUUAAUUUUGUUGGGGCAACAAGUAAAUUAUAACUUUAUUUUUUUUUUUCAUUUGUAUAUGUCUUUUGGAUCCUCAUAAGAGAUUAUAAGAAUAAGUUACCUUAGGGAUAACAGCGUAAUUUUAAUGGGGAGUUCUUAUUUAUAUUAAAGUUUGCGACCUCGAUGUUGAAUUAAGGUUAUAUCAGGGGGUAG